GUGCCAGCCGCCGCGGUAAUACAGAGGGGGCAAGCGUUGUUCGGAAUUACUGGGCGUAAAGGGCGCGUAGGCGGCCCACUAAGUCAGACGUGAAAUCCCACGGCUCAACCGUGGAACUGCGUCUGAGACUGGAGGGCUUGAAUCCGGGAGAGGGAUGCGGAAUUCCAGGUGUAGCGGUGAAAUGCGUAGAUAUCUGGAGGAACACCGGUGGCGAAGGCGGCAUCCUGGACCGGCAUUGACGCUGAGGCGCGAAAGCCAGGGGAGCAAACGGGAUUAGAUACCCCAGUAGUCC
This 292-nucleotide ribosomal RNA is filed under the name uncultured bacterium. RNAcentral's name for it is "partial 16S ribosomal RNA". It matches the Rfam family "Bacterial small subunit ribosomal RNA", at positions 505 to 796 of the family's 1533-position model. The record is from RNAcentral.